GUACACGCUGUGACUAGCAUAUCAAUAAGCGGAGGAAAAGAAACUAACAAGGAUUCCCCUAGUAACGGCGAGUGAAGCGGGAAGAGCUCAAAUUUGAAAUCUUAAAGGGUUUCCCUUUACGAAUUGUAGUUUAAAGAAGUGUUUUCUGUUGAGGUUUUGGUAAAAGUUCUUUGGAAUAGGACAUCAUAGAGGGUGAGAAUCCCGUAUUUGACCUUUACUUUCAACUUUGUGAUACACUUUCAAAGAGUCGGAUUGUUUGGGAAUGCAGUCCAAAAUGGGUGGUAAAUUUCAUCUAAAGCUAAAUAUUGGCGAGAGACCGAUAGCGAACAAGUACCGUGAGGGAAAGAUGAAAAGAACUUUGAAAAGAGAGUUAAACAGUACGUGAAAUUGUCAAAAGGGAAGCGUUUGACACCAGUGUUGUUUUUCUGAAAAUCAAUUAAAGAACUGUUUAUGCUAAGUUGUUUAGACUUUAUCAGCUAACUGUUUAGUUUUGAGCUUUUCUUUAAUGCACUUUUCAGUUAACAAGUCAACAUCAAUUUCUUUUGCUGUAAAAAAGCUUGAGGAAGGUGGCUUGAGAUUCGUCUUAAGUGUUUAUAGCCUCUUGCCUAUGCAGUCGGAGAGAUUGAGGUCUGCAGCGUAGAUCCUUCGGGGCUAAAUGCAUUUGUGCUAAGUUAUAGCAUUUUAUAGACAACUUGUUGACUAUGAUUUGUCUUGUAGCUUACUCGCUUAUGUUAUUUUACCUACGCUUAGGAUGUUGAGCGCAUGUCUCUCUCU
RNAcentral lists this ribosomal RNA (774 nucleotides) under uncultured Neocallimastigales. RNAcentral's name for it is "partial large subunit ribosomal RNA". It matches the Rfam family "Eukaryotic large subunit ribosomal RNA", at positions 22 to 616 of the family's 3401-position model. Lineage: Eukaryota; Fungi; Neocallimastigomycota; Neocallimastigomycetes; Neocallimastigales. The record is from RNAcentral.